CCUACGGGUGACAGCAGUAAGGGAUAUUGGUCAAUGGGGGAAACCCUGAACCAGCAACGCCGCGUGAGGGAAGACGGUUUUCGGAUUGUAAACCUCUGUCCUCUGUGAAGAUGAUGACGGUAGCAGAGGAGGAAGCUCCGGCUAACUACGUGCCAGCAGCCGCGGUAAUACGUAGGGAGCGAGCGUUGUCCGGAUUUACUGGGUGUAAAGGGUGCGUAGGCGGAAGGUUAAGUCAGCGGUCAAAUGUCGGUGCUCAACACCGGCCUGCCGUUGAAACUGGUCUUCUUGAGUGAGCGAGAAGUAUGCGGAAUGCGUGGUGUAGCGGUGAAAUGCAUAGAUAUCACGCAGAACUCCGAUUGCGAAGGCAGCAUACCGGCGCUCAACUGACGCUGAGGCACGAAAGCGUGGGGAUCGAACAGGAUUAGAUACCCGGGUAGUC
RNAcentral lists this ribosomal RNA (439 nucleotides) under uncultured bacterium. Its description in RNAcentral is "partial 16S ribosomal RNA". It matches the Rfam family "Bacterial small subunit ribosomal RNA", at positions 338 to 795 of the family's 1533-position model. The record is from RNAcentral.